UACCAGCACCCCGAGUGGUCGGUACGAUUAUUGGGCCUAAAGCAUCCGUAGCCGGUUCUGCAAGUCCCCCGUUAAAUCCAGCUGCUCAACAGAUGGGCCGCGGAGGAUACUCCAGAGCUAGGAGGCAGGAGAGGCAAGCGGUACUCAGUGGGUAGGGGUAAAAUCCGUUGAUCCAUUGAAGACCACCAGUGGCGAAGGCGGCUUGCCAGAAUGCGCUCGACGGUGAGGGAUGAAAGCUGGGGGAGCAAACCGG
Molecule: ribosomal RNA, 253 nt
Filed under: uncultured bacterium
Lineage: Bacteria
Description: partial 16S ribosomal RNA
Rfam family: Archaeal small subunit ribosomal RNA
Source: RNAcentral